Molecule: non-coding RNA, 142 nt
Organism: Populus trichocarpa (black cottonwood)
Lineage: Eukaryota; Viridiplantae; Streptophyta; Magnoliopsida; Malpighiales; Salicaceae
Source: Rfam
UAAUUUAUUUGAAUCAGAUUUCAUUUAAUUAUGACAAACCUAUACAUGACUGCUCAGAAUCAUUUGUUAUCGUAAGAUUGACUAUAUCAUUGACAUUAAAAAACAAAAGACAACUACUAUGUAAAUAAUAACCUUUUGAGAU